AGAGAAUGGCUACUACACUCAGAAGUUUGUUCUCCCUAGAUAUGGCCAUGUGGUGGACCGAGGAUCCUGGAGAGUUGAGUGUCUCAUCCACAAGUUCUGUUGUUCUCAGCUGGAAACAAGGAGGAAGGACAGAUAUGUGGCUAGCCAGUUUCCCGGGGCAAACAACAUGGGAUCAGUGGGUCCCAAGCCCACAGAUUGGAAACCUCUGCUCUAUCUACCUUAGAUUUGAUCCCAUCAGAACAGAGUUGUGGUUGUUUAAAGGAGAUACUUUGCCUGGGAACUGUAAUUUCCAGAAUACCACAUUGAAUCUGCCGUGGCUACCAUGACCAGACAAACUCAGAACAAGAACAUGCUGACAAGCCACUGGAACCAGCCACUGAGCUCUGCCAUCACUAUUUUGCACCCACCCUCCAACAAAGAUGCUGAAGGGUUAAUAAGUCAAACUCCAUCACUAAUGUUUGCAAAUUCAAAUAUACCACAAGUCAUUU
Mauremys mutica (yellowpond turtle) is the source of this 488-nucleotide long non-coding RNA. RefSeq lists it as uncharacterized. The transcript has 4 exons. The record is from RefSeq and is a predicted model, not a curated record. NCBI's taxonomy places the organism in Eukaryota, Metazoa, Chordata, Testudines, Geoemydidae.